This is a long non-coding RNA of Oryzias melastigma (Indian medaka), 870 nucleotides long. RefSeq lists it as uncharacterized. The transcript is spliced from 3 exons. The record is from RefSeq and is a predicted model, not a curated record. Lineage: Eukaryota; Metazoa; Chordata; Actinopteri; Beloniformes; Adrianichthyidae.
GAUGAUGAACUACAGGGCUGAAAACCUGUACUAAGUUAUAAGCAAUUGGUUUUUAGGGAAAGUUUGGAUGAUCCUAAUGGGAUAGAGGAUCUCACAAAUGCAUGUAUCAGAUACGAUACAAAUGGCUAUAUAGGAAUAAGCUAAAAGCUGUACAUUUAAACUUGUGUUGUUUUUUUUUACCCAUUUGAAUAGACUUUAGACCAUUUCCUCAUCGCUGGUUGCUAAUCAUAUCAUCAUCGGUCUAUCUUCACUAGUUAGGAAGUUAUUUUGAGCAGUUUCUGGUGGAGGAACUCCUUCUGGGUGAGCAGCAUGCUCCAGGCCUGAGGCAUUUCUACAUGGAGCACACAGACCCUCUGUGCCCAGUCAUGACCAGAGCAGACAAACAACAUUUGCUAAUCCCCCAUCGCUAUGGAAACCAACAUGCGGUGCUUUCCUAAACCAUAGCUGAACUGAUGCACCAGAAGAGGGCUCGAGGAAGGAGGAACCUUCAAUCCAUGACAAAACAAAGGCCUGGAUGUUUCAUCAGGCUGCAUAUUACUGUAUGAAGUAAAACUGGGUUAAAGAGACCGUCUUCUUCAUGAGGAAAUUGUAAGACGAGUUCCAGGAGGAUGACCAUGAGCAGAUAUGGGAAACCCCUGUAAGACGCAAUUACUCAGACGGCCAGCACGCCACCACACGCCUAAGCCUGUGUGGUGUGAAACUUGGCAAGCUGGGAAGAAAGAGAGAUGGGCCGAGAGACAGUGGGUGAAUGGUAGGGAGAGGAAGAGGAGGCUGGGAUUCAACCCAAAGUUUCAUGAGCUUGAGGAGCCAGAACAAGUGUUAUAUCCGAGUGCAGGUGGGCCAGCCAGAGCUCCAGCUAUGAUCUGGCCA